GGUGAUUUGAGCUUUGUCACAUGCUGUGUUAUCUUGCUGGAAGCAGACAUCAAAAGAUGGGUAGAGUGUGGGCAUAAAGGGAUGGACAUGGCAGCAACAAUACUUAGGUAGGAUGGGCCAUUUAAACGAUACUCAGUUGGUACUGAGCAGCCAAAAGUUGAAAGAAAAUAUCCACCAACCCAUUAGACCACCAUUAUCCACCUGAAUUAAUAUGAGACAGGGUGGAUCCAUACUUUCACGUUGUUUACACAUCUUUUUGAUUAUCAUCUGAAUCUGAGACUCAUCAAACUAAAAACUUUUUCCAAUCCUCUUUUGUCCAAUCUUGAUAAGCCUGUGUAAAGAGUAGCCUCAAUGUCCUGUUUUAACAGCAGGCAUGCCAUCCAGUGUGUUCUUCUGUUGUUGUUGUAAGUUAUGAAAAGUUGAAACAUUUAGAUUUUUGGACGUUUUUUUUUUUCUUUUACUCGUCAGUUUUAUAGGGAAUGAGGCUGGUCUUGGUCAUGCUAAUGCCUAUGUACACAUUUCACAGCCGCUCGCACCUGUAACACUUCCUCUCAGAAGGAGGCAGUAUAUCGCUAGUCAGACUUACUCAUGUGAAUUAUUCUAAUAAUAACCUGAGGAUUACUGAGACUCCACCCAAUGAAUGAUAGUUUCCUCCUAUUAAAGUUUACUCAGCAGACAGAAAACUGGAAAUGAUUAAGACAGCUGAGAACAUCGUUCAUCACAAAGCAUCAUGAUUAUUCUGCUCCUAAGCAUCUAUUUGAAUUAUAUUCUAGUUUCAGGUUCCUCUUUAAGUGACCAAGUCUCCCAGGAUCCUGCUGACAUUUAUACAAAAGGAGAAGAUGCUAAAAUCUACUGCUCACACAGUAUUCCCAGCUAUAACAGAGUCCUCUGGUACAAGCAGUCAAAGAAACAACUACAAUAUCUCGGAUACAUGCUUACUGACAAAGGUUAUCCAGAGACUGGAGUGAAUGUGGAGAUGGAUGGGAAUGCAGAUCAAGGCAAAAACUGCACAUUAACAAUUAAAGGAAUCAAGCUGAACAGCAGUGGUGUGUAUUUCUGUGCUGCUAGAUACCACAGUGGU
Molecule: long non-coding RNA, 1081 nt
Organism: Astatotilapia calliptera (eastern happy)
Lineage: Eukaryota; Metazoa; Chordata; Actinopteri; Cichliformes; Cichlidae
Source: Ensembl